RNAcentral lists this ribosomal RNA (496 nucleotides) under uncultured bacterium. RNAcentral describes it as "partial 16S ribosomal RNA". It matches the Rfam family "Bacterial small subunit ribosomal RNA", at positions 29 to 507 of the family's 1533-position model. The record is from RNAcentral.
AUGAACGCUGGCGGCGUGCCUAAUACAUGCAAGUCGAGCGAACAGAUAAGGAGCUUGCUCCUUUGACGUUAGCGGCGGACGGGUGAGUAACACGUGGAUAACCUACCUAUAAGCCUGGGCUAACUUCGGGAAACCGGAGCUAAUACCGGAUAACAUAUUGAACCGCAUGGUUCAAUAGUGAAAGGCGGCUUUGCUGUCUCUUAUAGAUGGAUCUGCGCCGUCUUAGCUCGUUGGUAAGGUAACGGCUUAUCAAGGCAACGAUACGUAGCCGACCUGAGCGGGGGAUCGGCAACAAUGGAACUGAGACACGGUCCAGACUCCUACGGGAGGCAGCAGUAGGGAAGCUUACGCAAUGGGCGAAAGAAUGAAGGAGCAACGCCGGGUGAGUGAUAAAGGUAUUCAGAGCGUAAAACUCUGUUAUAAGAGAAGAACAAAUGUGUAAGUAACUAUGCACGUCUUGACGGUACCUGAUCAGAAAGCCACGGCUAACUACGUG